AAAGCUUGAGUAUCUGAACACUGAAGGGAAUCUGAACACUAAGGGAACCAGCUCUCUGCUUUGUCAUCCGGGGUUUUGAAUCUUCCACUAAAAUUCCUCAGAAUAGAAAAUAAUUUCUUACAUCCUUUGUUACGGAAUGAAGAGAUUCAGAACCAACCGCAGAAGCUGAUUCAUCUGGCUGCCCUCUGCUUCUCCACAAAUAAUCUGAAGGAAAGAUACAACAUUACAGAAGGUAUUAAAAAGAUUUUGGAUGAAUUUAGUGUCUGUGACUGCUGCAGCGGACCUUGAUAUGGCAAAGGACUUCAGCUCAUCCAAAUGUAUAGAAAUGUAUUUAAAUUUGGAAAGCUUCCUUUUUACUUCUAUGCCUGCUCACCAUCGUGCCAUAGAAACUUUGUGUCUCAGCCUGAAGCUUGACUCCAGUACUUCGUGAAAAGGUAUCUGGAUUGCAGAGCAACUGUGAAUGGGAUAAAAUGGUUCAGAAAUAUGA
Molecule: long non-coding RNA, 487 nt
Organism: Tympanuchus pallidicinctus (lesser prairie-chicken)
Lineage: Eukaryota; Metazoa; Chordata; Aves; Galliformes; Phasianidae
Exons: 2
Source: RefSeq, a predicted model, not a curated record